This 587-nucleotide ribosomal RNA is filed under the name uncultured bacterium. RNAcentral's name for it is "bacterial SSU rRNA". It matches the Rfam family "Bacterial small subunit ribosomal RNA", at positions 338 to 916 of the family's 1533-position model. The record is from RNAcentral.
CCUACGGGAGGCAGCAGUGGGGAAUAUUGGACAAUGGGCGCACGCCUGAUCCAGCAAUGCCGCGUGGGUGAAGACGGCCUGCGGGUUGUAAAGCCCUUUAGGUGGGGAAGAACGGUGUCGGGUGAAUAGCCAGGCAUUAUGACAUUACCCACGGAAUAAGCACCGGCUAACUCCGUGCCAGCAGCCGCGGUAAUACGGAGGGUGCGAGCGUUAAUCGGAAUGACUGGGCGUAAAGCGUGCGUAGGUGGUAGCGUUAGUCGGCCGUGAAAGUCCCUGGGCUUAACCUGGGAAUGGCGGUUGAAACGGCGCAACUUGAGUGGGUUAGAGGACUGUGGAACUCCUGGUGUAGCGGUGAAAUGCGUAGAGAUCAGGAAGAACACCGAUGGCGAAGGCAGCGGUCUGGGGCCACACUGACACUGAGGCACGAAAGCGUGGGGAGCAAACAGGAUUAGAUAGCCCUGGUAGUCCACGCGGUAAACGAUGAGCGCUAGACGUUGGGCAGGUGACUGCUCGGUGUCGAAGCUAACGCGCUAAGCGCUCCGCCUGGGGAGUACGGCCGCAAGGUUGAAACUCAAAGGAAUUGACGG